CAGCUUCCCACGUGAAGUUCCUGUUGAAGAAGCCCCCAGCACAUCAGUGAUUUCAUCCUGUGCCUGGUCAUGUGGUCACAGGAUCGGUCUGUGAGCAUGUGCUUCUGUGAAUUUCCCAGAGACCACACAAAUGGCUGUGUGCGAAGAGGAGAGAAGUGGCUGUCACCUGACACACGUUAGCUGUCUUUCCAGAACUCAAGGUUCUAUGAAUUUGUUAUAGAUACAAGGGAUGAUUCUGGUAAAAUCUGGAGAUCUUCAGUUUCUAAAGAAGACUGGCUUCCCAGGCUUAACUCCAGUGGUGUCUGUGCACCAUUGCAUUCAACAAGGGGAAGAGACAUGUACUAAAUCCCAUAUAUUGUGUAGACUGUUGUCACACAUCACUUAUACCAUCUUCAAAAUGGAACCUCGACUUGACAUGUUUUAUCUGAUACCUGUCAACACUGAAAGAGAGAGACACUAUAGUGUCCACAAUGAUAAGCUUUGUUUUUGUUUUUUCUUUCUUUACUUGCUUGUCUUUCGAGUAUUGUCAUAUUCCAAAGCCCCAGAAAUUUCAAAAUCACCAUUUUCCCUUUUUUGCUUCCAUCAUAUUUGUGUAUAAGCCAGGCUAUUCUUUGGUUUCUUGGCCAUCCAGACUUAAAUAAUCACACAGAAACUAUAUUAAUUUCAACACUGUUUGAUCAAUGACUCAAGUGUAUCUCUACCUAGCUCUUACAUCUUAAAUUAACCCAUUUCUAUUCAUCUGUGUAUUUCCAUGAGGUUGUGGCCUACCGGUAAGUUUCUAGCAUCUGUCUCCUUCAGCAGCUAUGUGGUGUCUCCCCUACUUCAGCUAUUCUCUCUAGAUAUCUCUGUUCAGAUUUCCUGCCUAGCUUUACUCUGCUAAGCCGUUGGCCAAAACAGCUUUAUUCAUCAACCAA
Molecule: non-coding RNA, 914 nt
Organism: Myodes glareolus (Bank vole)
Lineage: Eukaryota; Metazoa; Chordata; Mammalia; Rodentia; Cricetidae
Source: RefSeq, a predicted model, not a curated record